This 373-nucleotide ribosomal RNA is filed under the name uncultured organism. Its description in RNAcentral is "partial 16S ribosomal RNA". It matches the Rfam family "Bacterial small subunit ribosomal RNA", at positions 527 to 896 of the family's 1533-position model. The record is from RNAcentral.
GUAGGUGGCAAGCGUUGUCCGGAAUUAUUGGGCGUAAAGCGCGCGCAGGCGGUUCUUUAAGUCUGAUGUGAAAGCCCACGGCUCAACCGUGGAAGGUCAUUGGAAACUGGAGAACUUGAGUACAGAAGAGGAAAGCGGAAUUCCACGUGUAGCGGUGAAAUGCGUAGAGAUGUGGAGGAACACCAGUGGCGAAGGCGGCUUUCUGGUCUGUAACUGACGGUGAGGCGCGAAAGCGUGGGGGCAAACAGGGAUUAGAUACCCUGGUAGUCCACGCCGUAAACGAUGAGUGCUAAGUGUUAGGGGGUUUCCCGCCCCCUUAGUGCUGCAGCUAACGCAUUAAGCACUCCGCCUGGGGAGUACGGCCGCAAGGCUG